GGUAUGGGAUGAGCUUGCGUCCGAUUAGCUAGUUGGCGGGGCAACGGCCCACCAAGGCGACGAUCGGUAGCCGGCCUGAGAGGGUGAUCGGCCACAUUGGGACUGAGAUACGGCCCAGACUCCUACGGGAGGCAGCAGUAGGGAAUAUUGCACAAUGGGGGAAACCCUGAUGCAGCAACGCCACGUGUGGGAAGAAGCAUUUCGGUGUGUAAACCACCGUCAUGAGGGAAUAAGGCCCGCCUUCGGACGGGAUUGAAUGUACCUUGAGAGGAAGCACCGGCAAACUUCGUGCCAGCAGCCGCGGUAAUACGAGGGGUGCAAGCGUUGUUCGGAAUUACUGGGCGUAAAGGGAGCGUAGGCGGAGAUUCAAGCGGAUUGUACAAUCCCGGGGCCCAACCCCGGCUCUGCAGUCCGAACUGGAUCUCUUGGAUAGUUCAGGGGCAGGC
This 446-nucleotide ribosomal RNA is filed under the name uncultured bacterium. RNAcentral's name for it is "bacterial SSU rRNA". It matches the Rfam family "Bacterial small subunit ribosomal RNA", at positions 217 to 662 of the family's 1533-position model. The record is from RNAcentral.